Molecule: long non-coding RNA, 956 nt
Organism: Homo sapiens (human)
Lineage: Eukaryota; Metazoa; Chordata; Mammalia; Primates; Hominidae
Product: long intergenic non-protein coding RNA 2109
Source: Ensembl
CCCACCCCAUGACUUCCAGAGACAGAGGAAAGGCUGAAGGUUGAGUUGAUUACCAGUAGCUCACGAUAUAAUCAUUCAUGCCUACAUAACACAGCUUUCAUAAGAACCCAAUAGGACAGGGUUCAAGGACCCUCUAAAGAAUGCCACACCUAUAGAGGCAUGGAAACUCUUUGCCACUUUCAUCUGACUAUUGAUCUAUAUCCUUUGUAAUGCCUCUUAUAAGAAAUGGGCAGAUUCUAGCAGUGUUUGUGAGAAAAACUGAUGGAUCCUGCAGAUUAACUAUGGACAGCCAAAUAUUGAGUAAAGUGAUGUCUACAACAGCAUCAGCUAUGCCUGAUAUGGUGUUAAUUCACAUUGUGAAGUUCCAAAAUCAGAAGAUGAUACAGAAAGAUUGCUCUGGUUGCCUGGUUUCUGAAGAAAUCGUGUACCCUGUCUGGAUAGUGUCUUACUUCCUAUCCACAAAGUUGUGAAAUAAUCUGGAAUUAAAUGGCAACCUAAACAACCCUAGAGUUGCCUGAACACAGAGCCAUUGCUGUGUUGAUCAUUAUAGCAGAACACUGACUAAUACUCAUACUUUGGGCAAUGUGUUAAGAAGAGGAAAUUUCAAAGUAGACUUAUCAGUAUCAAUGAAAACAAAACACUUACAAAUUCAGUGGCAGCCAGAAACAAACAAGGGGAUGCCCCUUGUUCACUAAGUGGAAGUGGCCACUUGGCUAAAUGAGAUACACGGUUAUGGAGGAAUUCAAACAAUGCAAAAGAGAGAAAAAGAGGAAUCUCUUUGUUGGCCUCACUAUCAAGCAUGCACUUUUUCUUGCUGCCGUCUGUGGAACAAUUGCUGAACUAUUGAAAACUGCACACCAAGGGUAAAAGCUGGAGCUUAAUUCCCCCUAAAUAUAUCUACCCUCUUCUUUUUUAAAAAUGUAUUUCAAUUAAAAUUAGUGUUCUCUCCGUUUUAA